This 75-nucleotide transfer RNA is filed under the name Thalictrum thalictroides. It matches the Rfam family "tRNA". Rfam says of the family: Transfer RNA (tRNA) molecules are approximately 80 nucleotides in length. Their secondary structure includes four short double-helical elements and three loops (D, anti-codon, and T loops). Further hydrogen bonds mediate the characteristic L-shaped molecular structure. tRNAs have two regions of fundamental functional importance: the anti-codon, which is responsible for specific mRNA codon recognition, and the 3' end, to which the tRNAs corresponding amino acid is attached (by aminoacyl-tRNA synthetases). tRNAs cope with the degeneracy of the genetic code in two manners: having more than one tRNA (with a specific anti-codon) for a particular amino acid; and 'wobble' base-pairing, i.e. permitting non-standard base-pairing at the 3rd anti-codon position. The record is from Rfam by way of RNAcentral. Lineage: Eukaryota; Viridiplantae; Streptophyta; Magnoliopsida; Ranunculales; Ranunculaceae.
GUUGGAGUAGCUCAGUUGGUUAGAGCAUGUGGCUUUUCAACCACAGGGUCGACGGUUCAACCCCUUCCUCCGACA